GACGAACGCUGGCGGCGUGCUUAACACAUGCAAGUCGAACGGGAGUAUUGAAGAAGCUUGCUUUAGAGAUACUUUAGUGGCGGACGGGUGAGUAACGCGUGAGGAGCUGUCCUAUGCAGGGGGACAACAGCUGGAAACGGCUGCUAAUAACCCCAUAAGCCGAGAGGUAAAAGGAUCAAUCCGGCAGAGGAGGUACUCGCGUCCUAUCAGCUAGUAGGUGAGGUAACGGCUCACCUAGGCGAAGACGGGUAGCCGGCCUGAGAGGGCGAACGGCCACACUGGAACUGAGAUACGGUCCAGACUCCUACGGGAGGCAGCAGUGGGGAAUAUUGGGCAAUGGGGGAAACCCUGACCCAGCGACGCCGCGUGGGUGAAGAAAUCCUUCGGGAUGUAAAGCCCUGUUGUAUGGGAAGAGCGGAAGACGGUACCAUACGAGGAAGCCCCGGCAAACUACGUG
Molecule: ribosomal RNA, 457 nt
Filed under: uncultured bacterium
Lineage: Bacteria
Description: bacterial SSU rRNA
Rfam family: Bacterial small subunit ribosomal RNA
Source: RNAcentral